GAGUUUGAUCUUGGCUCAGAACGAACGCUGGCGGCAGGCCUAACACAUGCAAGUCGAACGCCCCGCAAGGGGAGUGGCAGACGGGUGAGUAACGCGUGGGAAUCUACCUAUUGGUACGGAACAACCAAGGGAAACUUUGGCUAAUACCGUAUGUGCCCGACAGGGGAAAGAUUUAUCGCCAAUAGAUGAGCCCGCGUCGGAUUAGCUAGUUGGCGGGGUAAUGGCCCACCAAGGCGACGAUCCGUAGCUGGUCUGAGAGGAUGAUCAGCCACACUGGGACUGAGACACGGCCCAGACUCCUACGGGAGGCAGCAGUGGGGAAUAUUGGACAAUGGGCGAAAGCCUGAUCCAGCCAUGCCGCGUGAGUGAUGAAGGCCCUAGGGUUGUAAAGCUCUUUCGGCGGGGACGAUAAUGACGGUACCCGCAGAAGAAGCCCCGGCUAACUUCGUGCCAGCCGCCGCCGUAAC
Molecule: ribosomal RNA, 467 nt
Filed under: uncultured Alphaproteobacteria bacterium
Lineage: Bacteria; Pseudomonadati; Pseudomonadota; Alphaproteobacteria
Also listed under: 1 other name
Description: bacterial SSU rRNA
Rfam family: Bacterial small subunit ribosomal RNA
Source: RNAcentral